AAUUCCUUUGGAAGGAGGGGGGAGAUCCCUCGCAGAGAGGCUUUUGUAUUUUGUGGCCCAUGCCCGGUUUCCAGAGCAACCGUGGACGCCUCGGUUCCCUUAGAGGCAGGAGCAGAGACCAGAGGACAGCCAGUUGGCACCCGGAGCCCAGAUACCUGGGCCAAUGGGAAGUGGCGGGCCAGAGUUCCUGCGAGGCGAUCUGGAACGGAGGAGUACAGAGGUCUGGGCCAGUUGGAGCUCCCCUGGCUGGCCAUGGGGUGUAGAAGAAGCUGAGCCCAUUCCUGCCAAAACCCCUUCUGAAGGUUGUAGAGGGGACUUGGUGGCUGCCAGGUCCACAGAGGGGAGCGCCCUUUGUGGGACAGGAGGUCCUGGCACCGUACUGGCAGGACCAGCAGGGGCAGACCUGCUCACAGAUACCCUGCCUGGAAUGCAGUUGCUUCUCUGGGCCAGAGUUCCUGGGCUGGGGGUGGCCUGGUGACAGAGCAGUCCUGUGGCCCUGCCGACUGUCUUCAAGGUGGCUCAAGGCCGACGCCCUGUCUUGGCACCCCUCUGCCACUGCUGUUCUGCAUGCAGAGACCACCAUGGGCACUAGCCUCCUUCCUCGUCCUAGUUGUGGCCACUGGUGAGUACCUACUACUGUCCUGAGUCCCAGGGUUGGAUCAGAUGUACCCUUGACCCCUCACCGUAGGCCAGAAGCCCAGCCUCUUCAUCUAUAGGGUCACCUAGGGCAAGCCACUUGGGAAGAAUGCUGCGUAUGGCUAGUCCCUUCCCUGCCGAGUUCUGAGAUGCCACAGUCUGCCAUAGUGGAGAAGGGACUGGGCACUGGGGUCAGAGUUCAGGCUCUGGAGUCCUCCCCUUUCCCUUCAGACUCACAGCUCCUAAGGGUGCCACAAGUUCCUUCUCCUCAAGUUUGUCCCUCUCUAAACUCCUUACACACAUCACUUCCCCGAACUGAAGAAAGAGACAGGAUAAAGCUACAUCGCUCUCCUAAAUAAAUCUCUGCCCGCAGGGGGUUGAUGCGGCAGCAAAAAGGGAGCUGCCCGCAUCCCAGUCUCCCCUGCCUGUCAAGCUGAUGUCAGACUGGCCAGCUCCACCCUACUAAACUUCUGGAGCGGGAUUCCAAUGUGAGGAGGACGGCCACCCUCCCUGCUUCCAUACCACGGGACACCCUAGGGAAGUCCAGGCAGUGGGAAGCUGCUGAGAUUCCCAGGGGACACACGGCUAUUCUGUGCGUGGCUUCCCAGCAGCUACCAGCUGCCCCUGUGGCAGCUGGCUCGCCUGCCCAGCUAUGAGAGUAUUCGAAAGAAGACCCAGCAGCAGCAGGUUCACCAGCUGAUUGCACGGCGCUUCGGGAUCUGGGCCUGCAGAGAGGCGAAUGUUCGGCAUUCCUAACCUUGGGCACCUUGGACAACUGAGCUUUAGUUCAUAUUACUCUGAUACAUAAUGCCCAGUUAGAGCCCAGGAUGAGGAAGGGGUCACUGGUGGAGAGCCCCAGGCUUUGAGAGGAGGCCCCACUUCACGUCUUCGGGUGGAGGGAAGGAUGGCAGAACCCAGCCUGGGGGGGGGGGGGGGGUCCUGCCCUGGGAUUCAGAACAGGCUCCUGCCGAAGGGAUUCUGUGCAGCCAACAGCUCCACGACUCAGCUUGUCUCCAGGAAGGAACAUCGCUAGGGGAGAGGAGACACAGAAAGCUGAAGCCAAAAGAAAGGAAGUGUGUACAGGCGGGCGGAGAGGCUGGUGUGUCAGGGAAUGGCUAAAGCCUUUACGCUCCUAUCCCUCAGCUGUCACCAAGCUGAGGAGGCGAGGCCCUCAGGUCACUGCCUGCACCACGACCAAACUGCGGCUCUGCUCAUCCACCCCAUGAAGCGACACCUGCUCUGCUCAGGGAAACACCAGUUUCCCUGUGUAGGAGGUGUAGGAGGAACACCCUCUUCCAUCCUGCCCCUUUCUGCUUUUCCAGAGGACUGGCAGGGACGGUGCUGAGCCUACAGAGACACCUCCAGCCAUCUCCCCCAGCUGGGCCUUGGUACGUGACCCCCACAAGAAGGAAGCCAAAGUGAACCUCAACAAACCCUAGACCACCUCUGCCAAGGAUCUGCAGGAGGUGGAGAAUCUGGGGUCGUGUCCUGAGAAAAUAAGGUGACAAGUUCAAGGCAGACCUUCUUAGGUUGGGAGGCUUCUGUGCCCCGGUCCCUGAAGCUCCUGCCUGCAGGGCUGAGAGUCCUUGGAAGGAAGCCACUGGACUCUACAGGCCCUGCUGGGGCUGCAGCUCAAACUGCCCACCCCCAACAGCCAAGACAGCCCUCUGCCCCAGCUGAGACUCUUCCUGGCCUUGCCACUCGAAGCCAAGCGUCUAAGGUCUUGGGCUGGACUGACAGUGAAGGCCCCAGCCCACUCCAGGCCCAGAUUGAGUUCCUAAAGCCAGAUCCUUUGCUGUUUAUGGUUUGUGAUAGAUCAAGAACCAGAAAACGAUGUGAGGUGGGCGUGUCUUUCCCCAGGAGAUGGAAAGCAGCCCAUUUAUCACCCAUUCUGCUUCAUCACUGAAAGGACCUGGGUAUUCCAGGGUAGAUGGGGACUUUCUACGCUGGACCCACAGAGUCAGACAGGGGUUGGCCAUGUGGCCACUCCUGGGGCUGCAGCCCCAGCUCCCUCCAAAUAUGGCUCCAGGAGAGGACAUGACCAUGUUGCUUCCUUUACAGCCCCUCCCCCACACCCCCACCCCCCCAGGAUCCAGCCUGGGAUGGGUUCCUGGGGGAGAAGGAGCAGUAACACCCUCAAGCACAAGCUCUCCUCCUCCUUCCCCUCGGGGAGAUGGCUCUAAAGCAAUCCCUUCUCAAACACACUCCCCUCUUCUCUUUUCCUCACUCUGGC
Molecule: long non-coding RNA, 2869 nt
Organism: Neofelis nebulosa (Clouded leopard)
Lineage: Eukaryota; Metazoa; Chordata; Mammalia; Carnivora; Felidae
Exons: 3
Source: RefSeq, a predicted model, not a curated record